Molecule: long non-coding RNA, 553 nt
Filed under: Sorghum bicolor (sorghum)
Lineage: Eukaryota; Viridiplantae; Streptophyta; Magnoliopsida; Poales; Poaceae
Description: long non-coding RNA (SBIC_LNC003644)
Source: RNAcentral
UCACAAUGACAAGAAAAAAGAAGCUAAAUUCAGAAAAGAAAAUUUGCAGUAAUCAUAUAUAUCUAGCUUCUAAUUUGGUAGACUCUAAUCACCAGCAAUAAAAACAACAAGUUGUCAAUAGGUCAUCGAAAACUUUGAACAUCACCCUUUCAUCGCUGGCACUAUACCGUGUGUCACCACCAGCUCUAUAAUUCACCCAUGGCUUUGGCAUCCAUCAAUCACACAAUGUCGGUGGUUCGUCAGUAAUUCCCUUUGUUGUGUUUAGCACAUUUCUUGACAAGAUUUGUCAGCGUUCUAGAUUAGACCUAGACAUUUUGCAGGCCAGCCCGAGUUCGUCUCGGGCAGAAAAAAGUCUGGUUAUUUUAGACCAAAAUGUCUCACCUAUGACUACCACCAUCACGGCAGGUCAGGCCUAAUUUUUUAGACUAGGCUCAAGCUAGGUCCGGGCCUAGGCAGGCGGCUUAUACAUUUUAUAGUGUAAGGCCUUGUUUAGUUCACCCCAAAAAUCAAAAACUUUUUUCAAGAUACCCUGUCAUAUCGAAUCAUGCGGCAC